GACGAACGCUGGCGGCGUGCUUAACACAUGCAAGUCGAACGGACAGGCCCUGCUUUUGUGGGGUGCUCGAGUGGCGAACGGGUGAGUAACACGUGAGUAACCUGCCCCUGACUUUGGGAUAACUCCAGGAAACUGGGGCUCAUACCGGAUAGGAGCUCUUGCUGCAUGGUGGGGGUUGGAAAGUUUCGGCGGUUGGGGAUGGACUCGCGGCUUAUCAGCUUGUUGGUGGGGUAGUGGCUUACCAAGGCUUUGACGGGUAGCCGGCCUGAGAGGGUGACCGGCGACAUGGGGACUAAGAUACGGCCCAGUCUCCUACGUGAGGCAGCAGUGGAGAAUAUUGCACAAUGGGCGGGAGCCAGAUGCAGCAACGCCGCGUGCGGGAUGACGGCCUUCGGGUUGUAAACCGCUGUCUCCUGUAACGAAGCGUGAGUGACGGUAAUGGGUAAAGAAGCACCGGCUAACUACGUG
Molecule: ribosomal RNA, 468 nt
Filed under: uncultured bacterium
Lineage: Bacteria
Description: partial 16S ribosomal RNA
Rfam family: Bacterial small subunit ribosomal RNA
Source: RNAcentral